Poecilia reticulata (guppy) is the source of this 891-nucleotide non-coding RNA. NCBI's taxonomy places the organism in Eukaryota, Metazoa, Chordata, Actinopteri, Cyprinodontiformes, Poeciliidae. The record is from RefSeq and is a predicted model, not a curated record.
GGUAGAUGGUGUGAGCGCCUGACAGGGUACAUCAGGCUCCUGGAGGUGGAGAUGCUUUGCUAUCAGCAGGCAGCGUUUUCACCUGCUCCUCGAUGUCCAUGUUCCUUCACCAGAGAAGGGAUUUCCAGCUGCUCGGCCUGGAAUAAAGAAAUGGGAAGAGACGUGGCCCAGAGCGCCGGCUUUAAUCUUACAAGUUCAACUCCAGCACAUGAAACUGAAUGAAGUCGCCCCCUGCUGGACAACUCUGGCUGAAGGCUGGAGGUGGAGAGCAGAAUUCAUGAUUCAAUCAACAGCAAAGUCGCCCCAGACCAUCACACUGCCACCACCAGACAUAACUAGGCGGAGAGGGAGGGGAGCCGCUCUCUAAUCAAAGCGAAGGUCUUCCUCUGAAUCUUCCUGCUCUUUCAGCCUCAUUUCCAUCCCUUCCCUGAAGGAAACGCGUGGCAGUCCAAGUCCGACCUUCAACCCUCCACCCCGGACAGCUGAUGUGGAAAUAAUGGCGCCGACGCAGACAUAAAGCGGCAGACAGGCAAGGUCGCCCGAGUCAUCAAGACUGGGAGGCAUUGAAGCACAACAAACGGUUCCGGAUUAAGACACUAGAGAAGAAGUCACAGACAGUCCAAGGCCUGGUUAAGGGUUUUCCAGACUGCAUAGGAACAGUAGCUAGUCACCAAUCAGCAGCAGCCCUGCAUCUCCMUGGCAACAGAACUCAUCAUCUGCCAGUGGAACAGCCUGGUAGGGUCUUCAUCAUUUCUAUGUGUUUAUCUGUGUUCCAACAUAGUUUAUUAUUGGAAGUUCAGCAUAACAGUAAUUAUAUGAUUCCAAUAAAUAACUUUAARAGAAAGUGAACAUGGAAGAAAUGCACUUAGCUUAAUUUUCUUGUGUCACAAG